Molecule: ribosomal RNA, 1450 nt
Filed under: uncultured bacterium
Lineage: Bacteria
Description: partial 16S ribosomal RNA
Rfam family: Bacterial small subunit ribosomal RNA
Source: RNAcentral
AGAGUUUGAUCAUGGCUCAGAACGUACGCUGGCGGCACGCCUAACACAUGCAAGUCGAACGCAGUAGCAAUACUGAGUGGCAGACGGGUGAGUAACAUGUGGGAAUCUGCCUUGUGGUUCAGGACAACAUUGGGAAACCGAUGCUAAUACUGGAUAAGCCCUUACGGGGAAAGUUUUAAUGCCAUAAGAUGAGCCCGCAUUUGAUUAGUUAGUUGGUGAGGUAAUGGCUCACCAAGACAAUGAUCAAUAGCUGAUCUGAGAGGAUGAUCAGCCACACUGGGACUGAGACACGGCCCAGACUCCUACGGGAGGCAGCAGUGGGGAAUCUUGCACAAUGGAGGAAACUCUGAUGCAGCGAUGCCGCGUGAGUGAAGAAGGCCUUUGGGUUGUAAAGCUCUUUUGUAGGGGAAGAUAAUGACUGUACCCUAAGAAUAAGGUCCGGCUAACUUCGUGCCAGCAGCCGCGGUAAUACGAAGGGACCUAGCGUAGUUCGGAAUUACUGGGCGUAAAGCGCGCGUAGGCCGUUGAGUUAGUUAAUUGUGAAAUCCCAAAGCUUAACUUUGGAACUGCAAUUAAAACUGCUCGACUAGAGUUUGAUAGAGGAAAGCGGAAUACAUAGUGUAGAGGUGAAAUUCGUAGAUAUUAUGUAGAACACCAGUUGCGAAGGCGGCUUUCUGGGUCAACACUGACGCUGAGGCGCGAAAGUAUGGGUAGCAAAGAGGAUUAGAUACCCUCGUAGUCCAUACCAUAAACGAUGAUUGCUAGAUGUUGGAAAUUUAUUUUCAGUAUCGCAGCUAACGCAUUAAGCAAUCCGCCUGGGGAGUACGACCGCAAGGUUAAAACUCAAAUGAAUUGACGGGGACCCGCACAAGCGGUGGAGCAUGUGGUUUAAUUCGAAGAUACGCGCAGAACCUUACCAACCCUUGACAUGUCUGUCGCGAGUUUAGGAAACUAGACUUUUCGGUUCGGCCGGACAGAACACAGGUGCUGCAUGGCUGUCGUCAGCUCGUGUCGUGAGAUGUUGGGUUAAGUCCCGCAACGAGCGCAACCCUCGUUCUGUGUUGCCAGCAUUUAGUUGGGGACUCACAGGAGACUGCCGGGGUUAACUCGGAGGAAGGUGGGGAUGACGUCAAAUCAUCAUGCCCCUUAUGUCUUGGGCUGCACGCAUGCUACAAUGGCUGGUACAAACGGCUGCGAUACCGCAAGGUGGAGCGAAUCCGAUAAAGCCAGUCUCAGUUCGGAUUGGGGUCUGCAACUCGACCCCAUGAAGUCGGAGUUGCUAGUAAUCGUAGAUCAGCAACGCUACGGUGAAUACGUUCCCGGGGCUUGUACACACCGCCCGUCACGUCACGAAAGUCGGUAACACCCAAAGUCAGUGGCCCAACCGCAAGGAGGGAGCUGCCAAAUGUGGGAUCGGUGAUUGGGACGAAGUCAUAACAAGGUAGCCGUA